UAGAUCAGAAGCGAGAAUGUUGACAUGAGUAGCGACAAACAGGGUGAGAGACCCUGUCGCCGUAAGUCCAAGGGUUCCUGCUUAAAGCUAAUCUGAGCAGGGUAAGCCGGCCCCUAAGGCGAGGCCGAAAGGCGUAGUCGAUGGGAACACGGUUAAUAUUCCGUGGCCAGGAGGAAGUGACGGAUCUCAAAGAUUGUCUGCCCUUAUCGGAUUGGGUGGGCCGUUCAGAGGUCCCUGGAAAUAGCCCUCCAUCAGACCGUACCCUAAACCGACACAGGUGGACUGGUAGAGUAUACCAAGGCGCUUGAGAGAACCACGUUAAAGGAACUCGGCAAAAUGCCUCCGUAAGUUCGCGAGAAGGAGGCCCCGUCUGUAGGCAACUAUAGGCGGGGGGCACAAACUAGGGGGUGGCGACUGUUUACUUAAAACACAGGGCUCUGCGAAGCCGUAAGGCGACGUAUAGGGUCUGACGCCUGCCCGGUGCUGGAAGGUUAAAAGGAGGGGUGCAAGCUCUGAAUUGAAGCCCCAGUAAACGGCGGCCGUAACUAUAACGGUCCUAAGGUAGCGAAAUUCCUUGUCGGGUAAGUUCCGACCUGCACGAAUGGCGUAACGAUCUCCCCGCUGUCUCUAACGUGGACUCAGCGAAAUUGAACUGUGUGUCAAGAUGCACACUACCCGCGGUUAGACGGAAAGACCCCAUGAACCUUUACUCCAGCUUUGCACUGGCAUCAGGAUUGCGAUGUGCAGGAUAGGUGGUAGCCUUUGAAGCGGGGACGCUAGUUCCCGUGGAGGCUCCCUUGAGAUACCACCCUUCGCACUCUUGAUGUCUAACCGCGGCCCGUUAUCCGGGUCCGGGACCCUGCAUGGUGGGGAGUUUGACUGGGGCGGUCGCCUCCCAAACAGUAACGGAGGCGCGCGAAGGUAGGCUCAGACCGGUCGGAAAUCGGUCGUUGAGUGCAAUGGCAGAAGCCUGCCUGACUGCAAGACUGACAAGUCGAGCAGAGACGAAAGUCGGUCAUAGUGAUCCGGUGGUCCCAAGUGGGAGGGCCAUCGCUCAACGGAUAAAAGGUACUCUGGGGAUAACAGGCUGAUGAUGCCCAAGAGUCCAUAUCGACGGCAUCGUUUGGCACCUCGAUGUCGGCUCAUCUCAUCCUGGGGCUGGAGCAGGUCCCAAGGGUAUGGCUGUUCGCCAUUUAAAGAGGUACGUGAGCUGGGUUUAGAACGUCGUGAGACAGUUCGGUCCCUAUCUGCCGUGGGUGUAGGAGACUUGAGAAGAGUUGCCCCUAGUACGAGAGGACCGGGGUGAACGAACCACUGGUGGACCAGUUAUCGUGCCAACGGUAGUGCUGGGUAGCUAUGUUCGGACAGGAUAACCGCUGAAGGCAUCUAAGCGGGAAGCCCCCUUCAAAACAAGGUCUCCCUUGAGGGCCGUGGAAGACCACCACGUCGAUAGGCCGGAGGUGUAAGUGCAGCAAUGCAUUCAGCUGACCGGAACUAAUUGCUCAA
Molecule: ribosomal RNA, 1506 nt
Filed under: metagenome
Description: bacterial LSU rRNA
Rfam family: Bacterial large subunit ribosomal RNA
Source: RNAcentral